Molecule: ribosomal RNA, 783 nt
Filed under: uncultured archaeon
Lineage: Archaea
Description: bacterial SSU rRNA
Rfam family: Archaeal small subunit ribosomal RNA
Source: RNAcentral
GCCCCCGUUGGCCGGACUCCCCGGGAACUGGGGUUAAUUUCCGAUAGGUGAAGAUUCCUGGAAUGGAACUUUGCCCAAAAGGCGUUUAGGUCAUGCUUCUAAGCGUUGCCCAAGGAUGGGGCCGCGGCCGAUCAGGUUGUUGGUGAGGUAAUGGCUUACCAAGCCUUUAACCGGUACGGGCCGUGAGAGCGGGAGCCCGGAGAUGGGCACUGAGACAAGGGCCCAGGCCCUACGGGGCGCAGCAGUCGCGAAAACUUCGCAAUACGCGAAAGCGUGACGGGGCCAUCCCGAGUGCCGUCCGCUGAGGAUGGCUUUUCUCUAGUCUAGAUAGCUGGGGGAAUAAGGAGAGGGCAAGUCUGGUGUCAGCCGCCGCGGUAAUACCAGCUCUCCGAGUGGUGGGGACGUUUACUGGGCCUAAAGCAUCCGUAGCCGGCUGGACAAGUCCCCCGUUAAAUCCAGCGAUUCAAUCGUUGGAUUGCGAGGGAUACUGUUCGGCUAGGGGGUGGGAGAGGCCAACGGUAUUCUCGGGGUAGGGGUGAAAUCCUAUAAUCCCGGGAGGACCACCAGUGGCGAAGGCUGUUGGCUAGAACAUGCUCGACGGUGAGGGAUGAAAGCUGGGGGAGCGAACCGGAUUAGAUACCCGGGUAGUCCCAGCUGUAAACGAUGCAGGCUAGGUGUUAGGGCGGUCACGUGCCGCUCUAGUGCCGCAGGGAAGCUGUUAAGCCUGCCGCCUGGGGAGUACGGCUGCAAGGCUGAAACUUAAAGGAAUUGGCGGGGGAGCAC